CAGAAUCAAGGAAAGGGGUGUUUGAAAAGAAUGCAGAGAAGAAAUGGAGUGUAUCAAAUGACAUCAGGAAGGCUGGCUGGUGGACUAUAGGCUCCAAAGGUUAGCCAAGCAGUGUGUCAGGCAGUAAACCAGAGGGUCCGCUUUGACCUCCUACCACCAUUUGACGAGAAAACAAGAGAAAAUGUGGCUGGUGUGGGUCCACUGCAGAGGUGGGGAGUUCUUUCGUGCAGUAGUGACAAUGCCCUGCUUCCCCAGAUCUGGCACAUUUCAGAAGUUGCUGACGUGUUGAUGCCUGCUAAAACACAACGUGGGAAGAAGAAUGAAUGUGGGCAAGCUCGGCUAGCCACUCAGAGGGAAAUGAUCUCAUUUCUCCUGCUGGGCAACCCCCAGUUGCUGCUACUCAGUCCUUCUUGAAGUCCAUUUUCGUAAACACUUUGCUGAUCAAGAAGUGUCUGAAGAUGGGAAGACGGAGAAAGCUUGUAUUGUUUACUGAGUAUCAGAGGACACUUCCUUCAAGUGACCUAAGGCAUGUGUGAGUGCUAUCCUACGAGCCACAUUCUAAAGGAGUGAAGUCAUCACGAACACUGCCUUAGAAGAGUGAGUUAGUGCCAAAGACUAUCCUCAACAGCAUUUACAGACUCACUUUUCUAAAAAUCCAGAGAUUUUUUUUAACAUAUAAAUCAAGAAUGAACAAGGCAAAUGUUCAGCAAUUCACUUCCAUGCAUUACUCCCCUUCUCCUUGGAACUCAAUUUCUUAGCCAGGUUGCUUUUUGGGGCUAAAAGAAAGGAAAACAGAGAUGGAGACAGACAGGGCCAAGAAGCCAAUAAAGAGAUGAGCUGCACAAAGCUAUAAUAAUCAGUAAACCUAAGCAGGAAAAAGCUGAGAGGAAGGAAAGUUACUUAAAAUCAGAGAAUGCGGGGAGGGAGAAAAAUUGCUUAAAAUUAGUUUACAGAAAAAGAAAAUUAAUCUCCAUUUUACUGUUGAAUGACCUUUAGUCUGGAAUUAGAAUUCUAUAAAGUCUAAACAAAGAGCCACAUUUAAUUCCCUGGGAAACUCCAAUUUUAACUUGGCUUUAAUAAUAAAAAUUUUUGUGUGCAAAUUCCGAAAGCAGCACACACAAAGAAAUUAAAGAAUACAAAAACCUGUCCUAGGUAAUCAUGGAAAUCUUACGUAAAGAGAAAAUGAAAAUCUUUUCAUGCAAUUGCACUUUACUCGAAAAUUCUACUAAUCCUGACCUUUCAGGUUUUGUGAAGUGCCAAAUGCAAAUUAAAUGAAAAUGAAAUCACAAUACAUUGGAUUUUAGAGAAAGGAAAUGGCUAAUCAUGAAUGCUUUUUUUUUUGGCAAGAACUGUUCAGGUGAAUAUUAUGCUUAGUAAUUGUUCAGGCAAGAAAGUGGGUAGAAAUAAGCUUUCUCUCCUACCAUGAGGCUGGAUGCAUGCUUUGUUCUCUGAGGGAAAGAUCUCUACACAUUGAAUAAAGGCGAAGUACUUACACUGGACUUUAGCGAGAGUCUGACCCACAGAAUUCCUUUCCUUUGUGGGAAAUAGGGGCAAUUCUCAGCAUGGGAAGUACACACACACACACACACACACACACACACACAUACACACACACACACACACACACACACACACAGACACAUCGCGCCCACUCUUUCCUUGCCUGCGCCUUUUGUCUCCAAACCUAAGGGACCACACACCAUCUCCAUUUUAUAGGCCCCUGUUUGACACUCUUAGGCAUUUCAAAUUUAUCCUGCCCAAGCCUAUAUUUAACAUUCUAGAUUAAAAUCAGAGAAUGUUAAAGCUGAAAGUUACCUUAUAUACACAUAGGUCGGCCAGUCAGUCAGCUCUUGCAAUAUUAAGGCCAUUUAAAUAAUUUAAUUGGCAAAUUAAAUUUCCUUGCUUUUUUCGGAAAAAAAAUAUAUUAUGUAAAGUUAGGUUAGCCUCUACAAAAGUAUUUGUGCUUUAGCUGUAAUCUGGCCAAUGAUUUUAGUGAUCAUUUAUGAAAAUAUAUCAUUCAUUCUAAGUCCUGUUAGGCAUUUAGAGGUGAAUUGAAAAUACUUAUUUCUGAAUUUGUUCCUCCUCUAUUUCUUAGGAUCACCUCUACCUCCCAUGCACAUUAACCUGGGAAAGAGACAGAAAAAAUCAGAAAAAAAAGAUGUUAGGAGAAGCUGAACAGACUGAAAUUCUCCAGAAUGAGAGUGAAAGGAGCUGAAAUGCCUUUGAAAUAUUAUUUCUCAGCAAACAAAAAUCACAGAAUAGAUGCUGCAGACUUGAAAAUGGAUAAACACUGUUUGUGCCUACAUCUUUAUCUCUUUGCAAUCACCUCAAGAUUGAAUUGUACUGUACACUAUGGAUGUCUAGUUGUGCUUCAGUUAUAGUACAUUUCCUUUGAUGCCAACUUCCCUAAUGUCAGGAUUUUUCCCAGAUUAAGAGUGAGAACUGGGAUUGAGCCAAACAACAACACAGAAUCCAUAAUCUUCAAUACAGUUCAAGGUUGUUUCUAGGGAUUAAAGAGUAGAAAAACACACCAAUGCAAUAUAGGGCAAAACAAAAUAUAGUGAUAUCUCACCCUAUCACCUAGCACACAGUCAUAUACAGAAAGGCUUAUAAUUUAUCUUGGUAGUAAAAAAUGUGUUACCUUAAGCCCUCUAUAGUUAGAUGAUUGCGUGAAAGGUAAAAAAGCAGAUUAGAAGGGAUGCAUCCAGGCAUAAAAAAGGAAUGCUGAUAGUAGAAGAGGAAAAUGUGAAAUACCCAGGGUCCAAGCUUAGUACACUAUGGUUAAUUAGUGGUGAGGAGCAAGAGCUAGUUAGUCCACAGGAGUCUCAGGGAUAGUGAGACCCCCAUCUCUAUAACAAAAAAAAAUGCCUGGUGUGGUAUCAUGUGCGCCUGUAGUCCCAGCUACUCAAGAGGCUGAGGUGGGAGGAUGGCUUGAGCCCAGGAGGUUGAGGCUGCAGUGAGCCAUGAUGAGCACACUACUUCACUC
This 2986-nucleotide long non-coding RNA is filed under the name Homo sapiens (human). RNAcentral describes it as "HSALNT0285523". The record is from RNAcentral. Lineage: Eukaryota; Metazoa; Chordata; Mammalia; Primates; Hominidae.